UGAAUUGCAGAAUUCCGUGAAUCAUCGAAUCUUUGAACGCAACUUGCGCCCGAGGCUUUUGCCGAGGGCAUGCCUGCUUGAGCGUCU
RNAcentral lists this ribosomal RNA (87 nucleotides) under Selaginella conduplicata. RNAcentral's name for it is "partial 5.8S ribosomal RNA". It matches the Rfam family "5.8S ribosomal RNA", at positions 68 to 154 of the family's 154-position model. Rfam says of the family: 5.8S ribosomal RNA (5.8S rRNA) is a component of the large subunit of the eukaryotic ribosome. Lineage: Eukaryota; Viridiplantae; Streptophyta; Lycopodiopsida; Selaginellales; Selaginellaceae. The record is from RNAcentral.